GAUGAACGCUGGCGGCGUGCCUAAUACAUGCAAGUCGAGCGAACAGACGAGGAGCUUGCUCCUCUGACGUUAGCGGCGGACGGGUGAGUAACACGUGGAUAACCUACCUAUAAGACUGGGAUAACUUCGGGAAGCCGGAGCUAAUACCGGAUAAUAUAUUGAACCGCAUGGUUCAAUAGUGAAAGACGGUUUUGCUGUCACUUAUAGAUGGAUCCGCGCCGCAUUAGCUAGUUGGUAAGGUAACGGCUUACCAAGGCGACGAUGCGUAGCCGACCUGAGAGGGUGAUCGGCCACACUGGAACUGAGACACGGUCCAGACUCCUACGGGAGGCAGCAGCAGGGAAUCUUCCGCAAUGGGCGAAAGCCUGACGGAGCAACGCCGCGUGAGUGAUGAAGGUCUUCGGAUCGUAAAACUCUGUUAUUAGGGAAGAACAAAUGUGUAAGUAACUAUGCACGUCUUGACGGUACCUAAUCAGAAAGCCACGGCUAACUACGUG
This 497-nucleotide ribosomal RNA is filed under the name uncultured bacterium. RNAcentral describes it as "partial 16S ribosomal RNA". It matches the Rfam family "Bacterial small subunit ribosomal RNA", at positions 28 to 507 of the family's 1533-position model. The record is from RNAcentral.